GGAAAUGUGUCUGAGUGGUUUAUAGAGCAAUAUUUGAGCUAUUGUGAUUUUUUCAUCGUAGGUUCGAAUCCUGCCAUUUCCG
This 82-nucleotide transfer RNA is filed under the name Schizosaccharomyces octosporus. RNAcentral's name for it is "tRNA-Ser". It matches the Rfam family "tRNA". Rfam says of the family: Transfer RNA (tRNA) molecules are approximately 80 nucleotides in length. Their secondary structure includes four short double-helical elements and three loops (D, anti-codon, and T loops). The record is from RNAcentral. Lineage: Eukaryota; Fungi; Ascomycota; Schizosaccharomycetes; Schizosaccharomycetales; Schizosaccharomycetaceae.